RNAcentral lists this ribosomal RNA (1242 nucleotides) under Micrococcaceae bacterium 11_St_7. RNAcentral's name for it is "bacterial SSU rRNA". It matches the Rfam family "Bacterial small subunit ribosomal RNA", at positions 122 to 1372 of the family's 1533-position model. The record is from RNAcentral. Lineage: Bacteria; Bacillati; Actinomycetota; Actinomycetes; Micrococcales; Micrococcaceae.
UGACCUUAAUUGGACUCUGGGAUAAGCCCGGGAAACUGGGUCUAAUACCGGAUACGACCAGUCCUCGCAUGGGGUGCUGGUGGAAAGGGUUUGUACUGGUUCUUGAUGGGCUCACGUCCUAUCAGCUUGUUGGUGAGGUAAUGGCUUACCAAGGCGACGACGGGUAGCCGGCCUGAGAGGGUGACCGGCCACACUGGGACUGAGACACGGCCCAGACUCCUACGGGAGGCAGCAGUGGGGAAUAUUGCACAAUGGGCGCAAGCCUGAUGCAGCGACGCCGCGUGGGGGAUGACGGCCUUCGGGUUGUAAACCUCUUUCAGCAGGGAAGAAGCGAAAGUGACGGUACCUGCAGAAGAAGCGCCGGCUAACUACGUGCCAGCAGCCGCGGUAAUACGUAGGGCGCAAGCGUUGUCCGGAAUUAUUGGGCGUAAAGAGCUCGUAGGCGGUUUGUCGCGUCUGCUGUGAAAGCCCGGGGCUCAACCCCGGGUGUGCAGUGGGUACGGGCAGGCUGGAGUGCAGUAGGGGAGACUGGAAUUCCUGGUGUAGCGGUGAAAUGCGCAGAUAUCAGGAGGAACACCGAUGGCGAAGGCAGGUCUCUGGGCUGUUACUGACGCUGAGGAGCGAAAGCAUGGGGAGCGAACAGGAUUAGAUACCCUGGUAGUCCAUGCCGUAAACGUUGGGCACUAGGUGUGGGGGACAUUCCACGUUUUCCGCGCCGUAGCUAACGCAUUAAGUGCCCCGCCUGGGGAGUACGGCCGCAAGGCUAAAACUCAAAGGAAUUGACGGGGGCCCGCACAAGCGGCGGAGCAUGCGGAUUAAUUCGAUGCAACGCGAAGAACCUUACCAAGGCUUGACAUACACCGGAUCGCAGCAGAGAUGUUGUUUCCCUUCGGGGCUGGUGUACAGGUGGUGCAUGGUUGUCGUCAGCUCGUGUCGUGAGAUGUUGGGUUAAGUCCCGCAACGAGCGCAACCCUCGUUCUAUGUUGCCAGCACGUUGUGGUGGGGACUCAUAGGAGACUGCCGGGGUCAACUCGGAGGAAGGUGGGGAUGACGUCAAAUCAUCAUGCCCCUUAUGUCUUGGGCUUCACGCAUGCUACAAUGGCCGGUACAAUGGGUUGCGAUACUGUGAGGUGGAGCUAAUCCCAAAAAGCCGGUCUCAGUUCGGAUUGGGGUCUGCAACUCGACCCCAUGAAGUCGGAGUCGCUAGUAAUCGCAGAUCAGCAACGCUGCGGUGAAUACGUU